This 345-nucleotide long non-coding RNA is filed under the name Arachis ipaensis. RNAcentral describes it as "long non-coding RNA (AIPA_LNC002362)". Lineage: Eukaryota; Viridiplantae; Streptophyta; Magnoliopsida; Fabales; Fabaceae. The record is from RNAcentral.
GAUAUCAAGAUCCAAGGCCAGUGAGUGUGGCGGAGGAAGGGGUGGAAGAAGUGAGAGGCGUUAAGGGGUCAAGAAUGGAGUUGCUGGUGGCGGAGGAGUAGAGGAGAGAGAGCGCGAGGGGAGGGCGAAGGAGGGUGGCGGUGUUGAAGUUGAAGAAGAAGAGGAAGAAGCGGUGGUGUGAGGACAUGAAGAGUAUGAAGAUUAUGAAGGAUGAGCAGAGGAAGAGUGAUCUUGAUGAUGAGAGGCUCAACAAGAUGUGCCUCCCUCGCUUCCUCUUUCUUCUUUGUUCUGCCGCCUCCAUCUUCUUGGUGGAGAGAGAGAGAGAGAGAGAGAGAGAGAGAGAGA